GGGUGCUCUCCCCACCUUCAGCAUGUGUGGCCCCUACCCUCCUCCUGAAACUCAAAGCUGUAUCUGAAGCCUCUGGACCCCUAAGGAGAAGGAAAUCCAGAAGACUGACAGGAGGUGUGAACUGGUUCUAAGUGUGUCUGAUCCCAAGAAAAAGAGAGUGAAGCAUUCUGGAAACUUCACUUCUCUACAAGAUGCUCUACAAGCCUUUUUCGGAGCAAACUCUCAAAGGUAUGACAGACAGAGGCCGAUUUGAAAAGAAACUCACAAUUGCCAGCGUGUCCCUUGUAUGAAUCCCACGGCUGGAAGUUUUUCUGUAAAUCGGCAUCUUCAGCCCAAGUCAGCCCCAGAUGUACAUCACCAAGAUAAAGAGGAUUUGAAGAACACUGUAUCUGAAAGCAUUACUGAGGCCAACAUGGAAGAGCUUUACAGCCAUCAGUUUCAGAGAUGUUUCAUGGCCUAGCAAGCCCC
Molecule: long non-coding RNA, 468 nt
Organism: Bos indicus x Bos taurus (hybrid cattle)
Lineage: Eukaryota; Metazoa; Chordata; Mammalia; Artiodactyla; Bovidae
Source: Ensembl